RNAcentral lists this ribosomal RNA (3109 nucleotides) under Capsicum chinense (habanero). Its description in RNAcentral is "bacterial LSU rRNA". It matches the Rfam family "Bacterial large subunit ribosomal RNA". Lineage: Eukaryota; Viridiplantae; Streptophyta; Magnoliopsida; Solanales; Solanaceae. The record is from RNAcentral.
UAUAAUGAGGAAAGGCUUACGGUGGAUACCUAGGGACCUAGAGAAGAGGAAGGGCAUAGUAAUCGAUGAAAUACUUUGGGGAGUUAAAAAUAAGCAUAAAUAUGGAUGUUCCCGAAUAGGGCAACCUUUUGAACUACUGCUGAAUCCAUGGGCCGGCAAGAGAAAACCUGGAGAACUGAAACAUCUUAGUAGCCAGAGAAAAAGAAAGCAAAAGCGAUUCCCAUGGUAGCGGCGAGCGAAAUGAGAGCAGCCUAAACUGUGAAAACGAGGUUGUGGGAGAGCAAUACAAGUGUCAUGAUACUAGGAGAAGCAACCUGAAUGCUGCACCCUAGAUGGAAAAAGUCCAGUAGCCGAAAGCAUCACUAGCUUACUCUCUGACCCGAGUAGCAUGGGGCACGUGGAAUCCCGUGUCAAUCAGAAAGGACAACCUUGCAAGGCUAAGUAGUACUAUGAGGGAAGGGUGAAAAGAACCUCCAUCGAGGAGUAAAAUAGAAUAUGAAAUUAUAAGCUCCCAAGCAGUGGGAGGAGCCAGGGCUCUAACCGCGUGCCUAUUGAAGAAUGAGUCGGUAACUCAUAGGCACUGUCUUGGUUAAGGGAACCCACCUGAGCCAUAGCAAAAAUGAGUCUUCAUAGGGCAAUUGUCACUGCUUAUGGACCCAAACCGUGGUGAUCUAUCCAUGAACAGGAUGAAGCUUAGGUGAAACUAAGUGGAGGUCCGAACCGACUGAUGUUGAAGAAUCAACCGAAGAGUUGUGGUUAGGGGUGAAAUGCCACUCGAACCCAGAGCUAGCUGGUUCUCCCCAAAAUGCGUUGUGGCAUAGCAGUUGACUGGACAUCUAGGGGUAAAGAACUGUUUUGGUUCAGGCCACGAGAGAGGUACCAAAUUGAGGCAAACUCUAAAUACUAGGUAUGGCCUUAAAAUUAAAAAAGAGGGGUCAAAGUCGGCUAGUGAGACGAUGGGGGAUAAGCUUCCUCGUCGAGAGGGAAACAGCCCGGAUCACCAGCUAAGGCCCCUAAAUGGCCGCUCAGUGAUAAAGGAGGUAGGGGUGCGGAGACAGCCAGGAGGUUUGCCUAGAAGCAGCCACCCUUGAAAGAGUGCGUAAUAGCUCACUGAUCGAGCGCUCUUGCGCCGAAGAUGAACGGGGCUAAGCGAUCUACAUAAUCUGUGGGGUGUAAAAAUACAUUAGUAGGGGAGCGUUCCACCUUAGAGGGAAGCCUCCGCAUGAGCGGUAGUGGACGAAGCGGAACCGAGAAUGUCGUCUUGAUUAAAGCAAACAUUGGUGAGAAUCCAAUGCCCCAAAAACCUAAGGGUUCCUCCGUAAAGUUCGUCCAUGGAGGGUAAGUCAGGGCCUAAGAUCUGGCCAAAAGGCGUAGUCGAUGGACAACAGGUAAAUAUUCCUGUACUACCCCUUCUUGAUCCCGAGGGAUGGAGGAGGCUAGGUUAGCCAAAAGAUGGUUAUCGGUUUAAGAACGUAAGGUGUCCCUACCCUUUUUUCAAGGUAAGAAGGGGUAGAGAAAAUUCCUUGAGCCAAUGGUUGAAUACCAGGUGCUACGACACUGAAGUAACCCAUGACAUACUCCCAGGAAAAGCUUGAACGACUUUGAGCAAGAGGGUACCUGUACCCAAAAAUGGCACAGAUGGGUAGGUAGAGAAUACCUAGGGGCGCCAGACAACUCUCUCUAAGGAACUCGGCAAAAUAGCCCCGUAACUUUGGGAGAAGGGGUGCCUCUUCACAUCACAAAGGGGGUCNAGAGAAUACCUAGGGGCGCCAGACAACUCUCUCUAAGGAACUCGGCAAAAUAGCCCCGUAACUUUAGAAGAAGGGGUGGUGCCUCUUCACAUCAUAAAGGGGGUCAUAGUGACCAGGCCUGGGAGACUCUUUACCAAAAACACAAGUCUCUGCAAAGUCGUAAGACCAUGUGUGGGGGCUGGCGCCUGCCCAGUGCCGGAAGGUCCAGGAAGUUGGUGACCUGAUGAUAGAGGAGCCCGUGACCGAAGCCUCGGUGAACGGCGGCCAUAACUAUAACGGUUCUAAGGUAGUGAAAUUCCUUGUCGGGUAAGUUUCGACCCGCACGAAAGGUAUAAUGAUCUGGGCACUGUCUCGGAGAGAAGCUCGGCGAAAUAGACAUGUCUGUGAAGAUGUGGACUAUCUGCACCUUGACAGAAAAACCCUAUAAAGCUUCGCUGUUCCCUAGCAUUGGCUUUGGGCCUUUCCUGCGUAGCUUAGGUGGAAGCCAAAGAAGGCCUCCUUACGGGGGGGCCCGAGCCAUCAGUGAGAUACCACUCUGGAAGGGCUAGAAUUCUAACCUUGUGUCAGGACCUACGAACCAAGGGACAGUCUCAGGUAGUCAAUUUCUAUGGGGCGUAGGCCUCCCAAAAGGUAAAAGAGGCAUGUAAACGUUUCCUCAGGCCAUACAGAGAUUGGCCCUCGGAUGCAAAGACGUAAGGGAGCUUGACUGUAAGACCCACCCAUUGAGAAGGGACGAAAGUCGGCCUUAGCGAUCCGACGGUGUCGAGUGGAAGGGUCGCCGCUUAAUAGAUAAAAGUUACAAUAGGGAUAAUAGGCUGAUCUUUCCCAAGAGAUCACAUUGACAGGAAGGUUUGUCACCUCGAUGUCGGCUCUUUGCCACCUGGGGCUGUAGUAUGUUCCAAGGGUUGGGUUGUUUGCCCAUUAAAGCGGUACGUGAGCUGGGUUCAAAAUGUCAUGAGAUAGUUCGGUCCAUAUCCGGUGUGGGAGUUAAAACAUUGAGAGGACCUUUCCCUAGUAAGAGAGGACCGGGAAGGAUGCACCUCUGGUGUACCAGUUAUCGUACCCACGGUAAAUGCUGGGUAGCCAAGUGCGGAGCGGAUAACUGCUAAAAGCAUCUAAGUAGUAAGCCCACCAUAAGAUGAGUGCUCUCCUAUUCCCACUUCCCCAGAGCUUCCAGUAGCACAACCAAUACAAGGACGGGUUCUCGGCCCCUACAGGGAUGGAGCGAUAGAAGUUUUUUUAAGAAUUCAAGAGAAGGUCAUGGCGAGAUGAGCCGUUUAUCAUUACGAUAGGUUUCAAGCGGAAGAGCAGUGAUGUAUGCAGCUGAGGCAUCCUAACAGAUUGGUAGACUUGAACCU